GUUCUAAAUGUGUGGAAAAUGGGCUGGUCACAAUAGAUAUGUUCUCUCUCACUUUACAGAUAUAUUCCAACAAAAUGGCAGCAUGGAGGACCCAAAGGAUUCCUGUGGCUGGGAAAGAUCAAAGAAGCAGUUCCUGUCAUUCACGCCAACAGAUUUGACUAUAACCUCCAUCGACUUCCAUGCAGAGAUUCAAAUGUGCAAGAGAAGAAGCCUAGAGAAAAAGAUCUUCCACAGUGAAAAAAAUAUUUUCUUCGUAAUAUUCAGGGAUGCGGUAUAUGAAUCAUAUCUCUCGAUGAUUUUAUAUCUAAGAACAAACAUCAUCUAAGAAAGUGAAUUGGAAAUGGUCCGUUUGAGGAGACACUUGCUUUCUCUCAUUUAACUACUCCUAAGAAGAAAGAGACAUCUUUUUAAAUUUUCGUACUCAAGAAAUUUAUCACCGAGAAAACUCAGCAUUUGGUGAGUCUGUGCUCCCUCUUUCAGGCACUCCCCUUUGAAACAGAACAUAGGAAAAUGU
This 514-nucleotide long non-coding RNA is filed under the name Fukomys damarensis (Damara mole-rat). Its description in RNAcentral is "lncRNA (ENSFDAG00000027777.1)". The record is from RNAcentral. Lineage: Eukaryota; Metazoa; Chordata; Mammalia; Rodentia; Bathyergidae.